RNAcentral lists this ribosomal RNA (490 nucleotides) under uncultured bacterium. RNAcentral's name for it is "partial 16S ribosomal RNA". It matches the Rfam family "Bacterial small subunit ribosomal RNA", at positions 30 to 507 of the family's 1533-position model. The record is from RNAcentral.
AUUGAACGCUGGCGGCAGGCCUAACACAUGCAAGUCGAACGGUAACAGGAAGAAGCUUGCUUCUUUGCUGACGAGUGGCGGACGGGUGAGUAAUGUCUGGGACACUGCCUGAUGGAGGGGGAUAACUACUGGAAACGGUAGCUAAUACCGCAUAACGUCGCAAGACCAACGUGGGGGACCUUCGGGCCUCUUGCCAUCGGAUGUGCCCAGAUGGGAUUAGCUAGUAGGUGGGGUAACGGCUCACCUAGGCGACGAUCCCUAGCUGGUCUGAGAGGAUGACCAGCCACACUGGAACUGAGACGCGGUCCAGACGCCUACGGGAGGCAGCAGUGGGGAAUAUUGCACGAUGGGCGAAAGCCUGAUGGAGGCAAGCCGCGUGUAUGAAGAAGGCCUUCGGGUUGUAAAAUGCUUUCAGCGGAGAGGAAAGGAGUAAAGUUAAUACCUUUUCUCAUUGACGUUACCCACAGAAGAAGCACCGGCUAACUCCGUG